UACGUAGGGACCAAGCGUUGUUCGGAUUUACUGGGCGUAAAGGGCGCGUAGGCGGCAAUUCAAGUCAUCUGUGAAAUCUCCGGGCUUAACUCGGAACGGUCAGAUGAUACUGCUUUGCUAGAGUGCGGAAGGGGCAAUCGGAAUUCUCGGUGUAGCGGUGAAAUGCGUAGAUAUCGACAGGAACACCAGAGGUGAAGACGGGUUGCUGGGCCGACACUGACGCUGAAGCGCGAAAGCCAGGGGAGCAAACGGG
RNAcentral lists this ribosomal RNA (253 nucleotides) under uncultured bacterium. RNAcentral describes it as "partial 16S ribosomal RNA". It matches the Rfam family "Bacterial small subunit ribosomal RNA", at positions 524 to 776 of the family's 1533-position model. The record is from RNAcentral.